RNAcentral lists this long non-coding RNA (483 nucleotides) under Fukomys damarensis (Damara mole-rat). RNAcentral describes it as "lncRNA (ENSFDAG00000027121.1)". The record is from RNAcentral. Lineage: Eukaryota; Metazoa; Chordata; Mammalia; Rodentia; Bathyergidae.
GUAAUUUUUCUAUGUUCUAGAAAAUGCUCAAGAACAUUUCUUGCAGACUAAAAACCAAGAGUGAAUGCAGAUCUUUACAAUAUGAAAACAUAACUAUCCAACUUUAAAUGUUAAUGGAUAUUUCUUUUUUUGUGGUUGUUCAACACUGAAGUCUACUGGAAAUAAAUCCUGUAACUGAGCAAACAGAUCCCACCUACAGGUCCCUUGGAGAGAUUACUGCUCUCACCAGGACUGCAGUGUCUGCAUGGGAAAGCUGCAAUCUACCUGAAACAACCACAGAGCUCUCUGGCCGGGAUUUUAAAAAAAACUGCUAAAAAAAGGAUAAAACAACAGCUUCCUUACAGAAGACACCAGCCACGAAUUUAUCAACAGAAAAACUGGAUAUUAAAGACAGAAGUCUCCUAGCUACUCUUUAAAAAGAAGGUGAGGUGCUUUAAUAUUUGAAACUGCCUUAUAUUAAAGCCCAAGUACUUAACAAAGCAG